Molecule: ribosomal RNA, 496 nt
Filed under: uncultured bacterium
Lineage: Bacteria
Description: partial 16S ribosomal RNA
Rfam family: Bacterial small subunit ribosomal RNA
Source: RNAcentral
GACGAACGCUGGCGGCGUGCCUAAUACAUGCAAGUUGAGCGAUGAAGAUUGGUGCUUGCACCAAUUUGAAGAGCAGCGAACGGGUGAGUAACGCGUGGGGAAUCUGCCUUUGAGCGGGGACAACAUUUGGAAACGAAUGCUAAUACCGCAUAACAACUUUAAACAUAAGUUUUAAGUUUGAAAGAUGCAAUUGCAUCACUCAAAGAUGAUCCCGCGUUGUAUUAGCUAGUUGGUGAGGUAAAGGCUCACCAAGGCGAUGAUACAUAGCCGACCUGAGAGGGAGGUCGGCCAACAUGGGAAUGAGACACGGCCCAAGCUCCUACGGGAGGGAGCAGGAGGGAAACUUUGGCAAUGGGCGAAAGGCUGGCCGAGCAACGCCGCGGGAGGGAAGAAGGGUGUCGGAUCGUAAAACUCUGUUGGUAGAGAAGAACGUUGGUGAGAGUGGAAAGCUCAUGAAGUGACGGUAACUACCCAGAAAGGGACGGCUAACUACGUG